This 465-nucleotide ribosomal RNA is filed under the name uncultured bacterium. RNAcentral describes it as "bacterial SSU rRNA". It matches the Rfam family "Bacterial small subunit ribosomal RNA", at positions 339 to 796 of the family's 1533-position model. The record is from RNAcentral.
CUACGGGAGGCAGCAGUGGGGAAUAUCGGACAAUGGGCGCAAGCCUGAUCCAGCCAUGCCGCGUGUGUGAAGAAGGCCUUAGGGUUGUAAAGCACUUUCAUUGGGGAGAAAGGCUGUUUGGUUAAUACCCAAGCAGAUUGAUGUUACCCAAAGAAGAAGGACCGGCUAACUCCGUGCCAGCAGCCGCGGUAAUACGGAGGGUCCAAGCGUUAAUCGGAAUUACUGGGCGUAAAGCGCGCGUAGGCGGUUAAUUAAGCGAGAUGUGAAAUCCCUGGGCUCAACCUAGGAAUUGCGUUUCGAACUGAUUAGCUAGAGUGCAGUAGAGGGUGGUGGAAUUUCCGGUGUAGCGGUGAAAUGCGUAGAGAUCGGAAGGAACAUCAGUGGCGAAAGCGACUGCCUGGACUGACACUGACGCUGAGGUGCGAGAGCGUGGGGAGCAAACAGGAUUAGAAACCCCAGUAGUCC